RNAcentral lists this transfer RNA (62 nucleotides) under Ctenophora environmental sample. It matches the Rfam family "tRNA", at positions 6 to 65 of the family's 71-position model. Rfam says of the family: Transfer RNA (tRNA) molecules are approximately 80 nucleotides in length. Their secondary structure includes four short double-helical elements and three loops (D, anti-codon, and T loops). Lineage: Eukaryota; Metazoa; Ctenophora. The record is from RNAcentral.
CGUAGCUCAAUGGACAGAGCAAUGGAUUCCUAAUCCGUGUGCGCAGGUUCGAUUCCUGCCGG